UACGGAGGGGGCUAGCGUUGUUCGGAAUUACUGGGCGUAAAGGGCGCGUAGGCGGCCUUCUAAGUCAGACGUGAAAUCCCCCGGCUUAACCUGGGAACUGCGUCUGAUACUGGGAGGCUUGAGUAUGGGAGAGGGAUGUAGAAUUCCAGGUGUAGCGGUGAAAUGCGUAGAUAUCUGGAGGAAUACCGGUGGCGAAGGCGGCAUCCUGGACCGACACUGACGCUGAGGAGCGAAAGCCAGGGGAGCAAACGGG
Molecule: ribosomal RNA, 253 nt
Filed under: uncultured bacterium
Lineage: Bacteria
Description: partial 16S ribosomal RNA
Rfam family: Bacterial small subunit ribosomal RNA
Source: RNAcentral